This 1243-nucleotide long non-coding RNA is filed under the name Oncorhynchus mykiss (rainbow trout). Its description in RNAcentral is "lncRNA (ENSOMYG00000073413.1)". The record is from RNAcentral. Lineage: Eukaryota; Metazoa; Chordata; Actinopteri; Salmoniformes; Salmonidae.
UUUGAGAUAUCAGCUGAUGUAAGAAGGGCUAUAUAAAUACAUUGGAUAUGUGGAGAUAUGAAAGGAGAAAUUACUAUUCCUGAAUAUUAUUUUCAAUAGAACACCAGAGUGAAUCUUCAAACCCCUGUAUGAAUAGAACACUGAUGUAGAGGAGGAAUUUGUGAUGUAACACAAAUGUAUAAUGGGCUACUAGAGAUAAAGUAACAUAAUAUUGAGUAUAAUGUGUUACUAGAGAUCUGAGGAAGUAACCAUAUCUAUUUUUGACCAACUUUGCUAGUAACAGUAUGGUGGUACAUGCUAACUCAUGUCUGACUAAAACAGUGUACUAACUAGCAGCAACAAACUCAAACCAACCCAGGGCCAUAUCAAAACACGUCACAGUUAGUUGCAUAGUGUAAUCCUGAAUCUAAUCAAAUCUGGAGGCAGUCAGUCUGUAAAGCAUAGAAUUAGUUUACAAACGAGAUUAUGUUAUUUCUCGAGCUACAGUAUGUUUAUAAUUGAGGGAUGAUGACAAUCAUUGACCCUGUUUUUCUGUUAAACAAACUGCACAGUCAGGUGCCAGACUGAUGCUCUGGUGUUGAACGGAUGCCGGGACCUACCAGAAGGAGCAAAGGCCCUCCCAGUCAACACCACUUCAUAAGAUUGCCUGCUGCAGUUGUUCAAGAGAUGUCCCGUUUGCAGCCGAACAUGCAGCAUAGAGAAGACCAGGAAGGGGGCCGUCAUCAGCUUCGUGCAGACAUGCCCUCACUGUGAGCAUUCCUAUGAAUGGAUUAGUCAGCCACAUAUUGGCGAGUAUGCGGCCAGCAACCUUCACCUGUCAGUGGCAACAGCUUUCACAGGCUCAUCAUUGGUACAAAAACAGAAGGUAACCCACUUCAUUACUUUGAUACAUUUGAGAACCCAAUUGUGAAACAUAAUGUAUGUAAACUGACAUUAUUUGCUGCUUAUUUUCUGCUUCUUAGAUGCAUUUAAUAAUGUCCAUGGGCUCUGGCAAAGACCUCACCUCUUGUCUGCUCACCGACAGUCGUGGAUGGUAGCGUAGGGAAUAUCUGACACACAAACAUAUACUACAGUGCCUUUGGAACGUAUUCAGACCACUUGACUUUUUCCACAAUUUGUUACGUUCUAGCCUUAUUCUAAAAUGGGUUAAAUAAAAAAUAAUCCUCAGCAAAUCUACACACAUUACCCCAUAAUGACAAAGCGAAAACAGGUUUUUAGAAAUGUUUGCAAACGUAUUUAAAAU